CAGUUACUCCCUCCGUCCGAAAAUACUUGUCUUCAAACUGAAUAAAAGGGGGUGUAUCUAGAUGCAUUUUUGUUCUAGAUACAUUUUUUUUAUCAAUUUUGAUGACAAGUAUUUUCGGACGGAGAGAGUACUUU
Non-coding RNA from Triticum aestivum (bread wheat), 134 nucleotides. The record is from Rfam. NCBI's taxonomy places the organism in Eukaryota, Viridiplantae, Streptophyta, Magnoliopsida, Poales, Poaceae.